This 460-nucleotide ribosomal RNA is filed under the name Yarrowia lipolytica. RNAcentral describes it as "eukaryotic LSU rRNA". It matches the Rfam family "Eukaryotic large subunit ribosomal RNA", at positions 112 to 654 of the family's 3401-position model. Lineage: Eukaryota; Fungi; Ascomycota; Dipodascomycetes; Dipodascales. The record is from RNAcentral.
AAUUUGAAACCCUCGGGAUUGUAAUUUGAAGAUUUGGCAUUGGAGAAAGCUAACCCAAGUUGCUUGGAAUAGUACGUCAUAGAGGGUGACAACCCCGUCUGGCUAACCGUUCUCCAUGUAUUGCCUUAUCAAAGAGUCGAGUUGUUUGGGAAUGCAGCUCAAAGUGGGUGGUAAACUCCAUCUAAAGCUAAAUACUGGUGAGAGACCGAUAGCGAACAAGUACUGUGAAGGAAAGGUGAAAAGAACUUUGAAAAGAGAGUGAAAUAGUAUGUGAAAUUGUUGAUAGGGAAGGAAAUGAGUGGAGAGUGGCCGAGGUUUCAGCCGCCCCUCGUGGGCGGUGUACUGCCGACGCCGAGUCAUCGAUAGCGAGACGAGGGUUACAAAUGGGAGCGCCUUCGGGCGUUCUCCCCUAACCCUCCACACUGCCACCGACGACAUAAUCCACCCAUUUCACCCGUCU